UACGUAGGGUGCGAGCGUUGUCCGGAAUUAUUGGGCGUAAAGAGCUUGUAGGCGGUUUGUCGCGUCUGCCGUGAAAAUUCGAGGCUCAACCUCGAACUUGCGGUGGGUACGGGCAGACUAGAGUGUGGUAGGGGAGACUGGAAUUCCUGGUGUAGCGGUGAAAUGCGCAGAUAUCAGGAGGAACACCGAUGGCGAAGGCAGGUCUCUGGGCCACUACUGACGCUGAGAGGCGAAAGCAUGGGGAGCGAACAGG
RNAcentral lists this ribosomal RNA (253 nucleotides) under uncultured bacterium. RNAcentral's name for it is "partial 16S ribosomal RNA". It matches the Rfam family "Bacterial small subunit ribosomal RNA", at positions 524 to 776 of the family's 1533-position model. The record is from RNAcentral.